Molecule: ribosomal RNA, 53 nt
Filed under: Ochlerotatus aurifer
Lineage: Eukaryota; Metazoa; Arthropoda; Insecta; Diptera; Culicidae
Description: partial 5.8S ribosomal RNA
Source: RNAcentral
GCAUAUUGCACCUCGUACAACAGUACGAGGUACACAUUUUUGAGUGCCUAUAU